RNAcentral lists this ribosomal RNA (468 nucleotides) under uncultured bacterium. RNAcentral describes it as "partial 16S ribosomal RNA". It matches the Rfam family "Bacterial small subunit ribosomal RNA", at positions 28 to 507 of the family's 1533-position model. The record is from RNAcentral.
GACGAACGCUGGCGGCGUGCCUAACACAUGCAAGUCGAACGGAAAGACCCUGCGUUUGUGCGGUUCUCGAGUGGCGAACGCGGGAGUAACACGUGAGUAACCUGACCUUGUCUUUGGGAUAACUUAACGAAACUGGGGCUAAUAUAGGAUAGGAGAUCCUGCUGCGUGGAGGGCAUUGGAACGUUUCAGCUGUUGGGGAUGGACUGGCGGCUUAUCAGCUUGCUGGUGGGGUAGUGGCUUACCCAGGAAUUGACUGGUAGCCAGCCUGAGAGGGUGACCGGCGACAUUGGGACUGAGGGACGGCCCAGACGGGUACGGUGGGCAGCAGGGGGGAACAUUGCACAACGAUCGGACGUGGGAUGCAGAAGCGCUGCGGGUGGGAUGACGUCCUGUUGGGUGUAAACCGCUUUCGCCUGUGACGAAGCGGGAGUGACGGUAAUGGGUAAAGAAGCACCGGCUAACUACGUG